CAUACGGCAAUUACGAUAUAAGUCAGAGAAUGUUGUUAAUUUGUAGUA
RNAcentral lists this non-coding RNA (48 nucleotides) under Trypanosoma brucei brucei. Lineage: Eukaryota; Euglenozoa; Kinetoplastea; Trypanosomatida; Trypanosomatidae. The record is from RNAcentral.